RNAcentral lists this ribosomal RNA (426 nucleotides) under uncultured bacterium. Its description in RNAcentral is "bacterial SSU rRNA". It matches the Rfam family "Bacterial small subunit ribosomal RNA", at positions 355 to 774 of the family's 1533-position model. The record is from RNAcentral. RNAcentral also lists the same sequence under 1 other name.
UAGGGAAUUUUCGGCAAUGGGCGAAAGCCUGACCGAGCAACGCCGCGUGAAGGAAGAAGUCAUUCGUGAUGUAAACUUCUGUUAUGAAGGAAGAACGGCAGAUGGAGGGAAUGCCAUGUGCGUGACGGUACUUCAUGAGGAAGCCACGGCUAACUACGUGCCAGCAGCCGCGGUAAUACGUAGGUGGCGAGCGUUAUCCGGAAUCAUUGGGCGUAAAGAGGGAGCAGGCGGCAGUGCAGGUCUGCGGUGAAAGACCGGAGCUAAACUUCGGUAAGCCGUGGAAACCGCACAGCUAGAGAGCAUCAGAGGAUCGCGGAAUUCCAUGUGUAGCGGUGAAAUGCGUAGAUAUAUGGAGGAACACCAGUGGCGAAGGCGGCGGUCUGGGGUGCAGCUGACGCUCAGUCCCGAAAGCGUGGGGAGCAAAUA